RNAcentral lists this ribosomal RNA (1135 nucleotides) under uncultured Microbacteriaceae bacterium. RNAcentral describes it as "bacterial SSU rRNA". It matches the Rfam family "Bacterial small subunit ribosomal RNA", at positions 223 to 1368 of the family's 1533-position model. The record is from RNAcentral. Lineage: Bacteria; Bacillati; Actinomycetota; Actinomycetes; Micrococcales; Microbacteriaceae.
GGAUGGACUCGCGGCCUAUCAGCUAGUUGGUGAGGUAACGGCUCACCAAGGCGUCGACGGGUAGCCGGCCUGAGAGGGUGACCGGCCACACUGGGGCUGAGACACGGCCCAGACUCCUACGGGAGGCAGCAGUGGGGAAUAUUGCACAAUGGGCGCAAGCCUGAUGCAGCAACGCCGCGUGGGGGACGAAGGCCUUCGGGUUGUAAACCUCUUUUAGUAGGGAAGAAGCGAAAGUGACGGUACCUGCAGAAAAAGCACCGGCUAACUACGUGCCAGCAGCCGCGGUAAUACGUAGGGUGCGAGCGUUGUCCGGAAUUAUUGGGCGUAAAGAGCUCGUAGGCGGUUUGUCACGUCUGCUGUGAAAACCCGAGGCUCAACCUCGGGCCUGCAGUGGGUACGGGCAGACUAGAGUGCGGUAGGGGAGAACGGAAUUCCUGGUGUAGCGGUGGAAUGCGCAGAUAUCAGGAGGAACACCGAUGGCGAAGGCAGUUCUCUGGGCCGUAACUGACGCUGAGGAGCGAAAGCGUGGGGAGCGAACAGGAUUAGAUACCCUGGUAGUCCACGCCGUAAACGUUGGGCGCUAGAUGUGGGGACCAUUCCACGGUUUCCGCGUCGUAGCUAACGCAUUAAGCGCCCCGCCUGGGGAGUACGGCCGCAAGGCUAAAACUCAAAGGAAUUGACGGGGGCCCGCACAAGCGGCGGAGCAUGCGGAUUAAUUCGAUGCAACGCGAAGAACCUUACCAAGGCUUGACAUAUGCGAGAACGCUCUAGAAAUAGAGAACUCCUUGGACACUCGUAUACAGGUGGUGCAUGGUUGUCGUCAGCUCGUGUCGUGAGAUGUUGGGUUAAGUCCCGCAACGAGCGCAACCCUCGUCGCAUGUUGCCAGCACGUAAUGGUGGGAACUCAUGUGAGACUGCCGGGGUCAACUCGGAGGAAGGUGGGGAUGACGUCAAAUCAUCAUGCCCCUUAUGUCUUGGGCUUCACGCAUGCUACAAUGGCCGGUACAAAGGGCUGCGAAACCGCAAGGUGGAGCGAAUCCCAAAAAGCCGGUCUCAGUUCGGAUUGAGGUCUGCAACUCGACCUCAUGAAGUCGGAGUCGCUAGUAAUCGCAGAUCAGCAACGCUGCGGUGAAUA